GACGAACGCUGGCGGCGUGCUUAACACAUGCAAGUCGAACGGAAAGGCCCUGCUUUUGUGGGGUGCUCGAGUGGCGAACGCGUGAGUAACACGUGAGUAACCUGCCCUUGUCUUUGGGGUAACUUCAGGAAACUGGGGCUAAUACCGGAUAUGAGCUCCUGCUGCAUGGUGUGGGUUGGAAAGUUUCGGCGGUUGGGGAUGGACUCGCGGCUUAUCAGCGUGUUGGUGGGGUAGUGGCUUACCAAGGCUUUGACGGGUAGCCGGACUGGGAGGGUGACCGGGCACAUUGGGCCUGAGAUAGGGCCAAGACUGCUACGGGAGGAAGCAGUGGGAAAUAUUGCACGAUGGGCGGAAGCCUGAUGCAGCAACGCCGCGUGCGGGAUGACGGCUUUCGGGGUGUAAACCGCUUGCGCGUGUAACGCAGCGUGAGUGACGGUAACGGGUAAAGAAGAAACGGCUAACUACGUG
Molecule: ribosomal RNA, 468 nt
Filed under: uncultured bacterium
Lineage: Bacteria
Description: partial 16S ribosomal RNA
Rfam family: Bacterial small subunit ribosomal RNA
Source: RNAcentral